This 301-nucleotide ribosomal RNA is filed under the name uncultured bacterium. Its description in RNAcentral is "partial 16S ribosomal RNA". It matches the Rfam family "Bacterial small subunit ribosomal RNA", at positions 509 to 807 of the family's 1533-position model. The record is from RNAcentral.
CAGCAGCCGCGGGAAUACGGAGGGUGCAAGCGUUAAUCGGAAUUACUGGGCGUAAAGCGUGCGUAGGCGGUUCGUUAAGUCUGUUGUGAAAGCCCCGGGCUCAACCUGGGAAUGGCAAUGGAUACUGGCGAGCUAGAGUGUGUCAGAGGAUGGUGGAAUUCCCGGUGUAGCGGUGAAAUGCGUAGAGAUCGGGAGGAACAUCAGUGGCGAAGGCGGCCAUCUGGGACAACACUGACGCUGAGGCACGAAAGCGUGGGGAACAAACAGGAUUAGAUACCCCGGUAGUCCCUGUCUCUUAUAC